This 253-nucleotide unclassified non-coding RNA is filed under the name plant metagenome. Its description in RNAcentral is "partial contains small subunit ribosomal RNA, internal transcribed spacer 1, and 5.8S ribosomal RNA". The stretch from base 205 to 253 matches the Rfam family "5.8S ribosomal RNA", at positions 1 to 49 of the family's 154-position model. The record is from RNAcentral.
UUUCCGUAGGUGAACCUGCGGAAGGAUCAUUACUGAGUGAGGGCCCUCUGGGUCCAACCUCCCACCCGUGUUUAUUAUACCUUGUUGCUUCGGUGAGCCCGCCUCACGGCCGCCGGGGGGCAUCUGCCCCCGGGCCCGCGCCCACCGAAGACACCUAGAACUCUGUAUGAAGAUUGCAGUCUGAGCAAAAACUAAAUAAGUUAAAACUUUCAACAACGGAUCUCUUGGUUCCGACAUCGAUGAAGAACGCAGC